RNAcentral lists this long non-coding RNA (273 nucleotides) under Arabidopsis lyrata. RNAcentral's name for it is "long non-coding RNA (ALYR_LNC002773)". The record is from RNAcentral. Lineage: Eukaryota; Viridiplantae; Streptophyta; Magnoliopsida; Brassicales; Brassicaceae.
CUUAGAUCAUUUGGCCACUUCCUGUUAUUUUUGUUGAUGAGGAAAUGAUGGAUAAUAGAAAACAGAGAACCAGAGUGCAUACCAUUCUCGGGCAAAGGGUAAUCAGAAAGUGCCCAGAUCUGACGAGAAAGAGUGCAAGUGAAGAGGGCAUGUUCAAUUGACUCACCUUCAAGACCACAGUAUUGACAUCUACUGUCGACUUUCAUUCCUCUGUGGGAAAGAAGAUCAGCCACUGGUAAAGCACCACUCAGCACCUUCCAAAGAAAGACUUUG